AUGACGUCACGACGCCCCGGUCAGGGCCUGGGCGCGGCUCGCGGGCCGGGUCGUCGCUAUAGCAAUGAGGAGCCGCCACCUGUCCUGCGGAGGGACUCGCUCCACCUGAGGCCUGAGGCGGUAGCGGGGAGGAGGCCGAAGCCCCGAGGUCUCUGCGCCGUCUUGUCGGCCGCCUACGGGCGAGAAGGUGCGCUUCUGGAGCCGGGGAGGGUCGGAGGGGCAGACUGUGAGAGAAGCCGUCCCGCCGGGACCCAUUGCCCACACCCGGGCUACGGACCCUCUUCUUGGGGCUCAGGGCCCUCAGGCUUCCACCUGCGCCUUACCGUCCCGAAGCGCUUUCCUGUGCGCAGGCUGCAGGCACUGCCUACGAUCUUCGAGCCACCGUUGAAGGAAGCAACUGCAGAGGCCUUUCCUGACCACCCUGCCUGAAACAGCAACAUGAUGUGUGGAGAGCCUACUGGAUGCCAAGCACCAUGCAUUAGGACUCAGCUCUUCUGGCUUCCAGGCUAGUGUUCUUUCCAUUGCAUCAGCAGACUUUUAAAAUAUGAGGUGGGGAUUCCAGCCUCUUAUCCCCCACUUUACUCAAAACAGCUCCUCCACUUUAUGCAUUGGAGUUCCACAACACAUUUAAAAUAAGGGUUCAAUGCUUUAAAAAGGUGUUUGAGAAGCAUUGCUGAAAUUAUGGAACUUGAGGAUUUUUGUCAUUGUCUCUUAUUUUGAUAAUAAUACAAAAUUACUGAUCAUAAAGAUAACUUUUUUUGUACUUAUAAUUUAUGAAGGAUAAUACUGUGACUAGGACUAUAGUUUCUUAUGUAAGAUUUUCUCAAACUGGGAUCCACAGACCUGGGUAUCCAGAACAUUCUUCAAUGUUGGAAACAUGUCUUUUCCUUUAAAAGUGGUCUAUACUGAAUUAACUCUGGGAAAUGCUGUGCUAGAUCUGCUGUUUUUCUGUAAGAACUGAGGAGGGAGUAAGGGAAGGAAGGGAUUUAUGCAAAAGCAUCUUUCUGUACCUUAUUUUCUGUAUAUUUAUUGGUGGAAGAUGUAGAGAACAUUUCAUCUCCUCAUCUUCCCUUUCUCUUCCCCCAGGGAAUAAGAUAGUGUGGGUGACUCUGCAGCCAGAUGGGCUUGGGCUCAAAUCCUAGCUUUAACUGGGCAAGUUCUGUAAUUCUCUGUGCCUCAGUUUUCUCAUCAGUAAAGUGGGAAUGAUGAAAGUACCUCCUUUAUAGAGCUAUUAUAUAUCAAAUGAGUCUAUUCAUGUAGGCACUUAGCAUAUUGCCUACACAUUGUUACAUGCUCAUUAAAUGUUGGUUAUCAUUA
Long non-coding RNA from Camelus dromedarius (Arabian camel), 1317 nucleotides. RefSeq lists it as uncharacterized. Lineage: Eukaryota; Metazoa; Chordata; Mammalia; Artiodactyla; Camelidae. The transcript has 2 exons. The record is from RefSeq and is a predicted model, not a curated record.